Molecule: ribosomal RNA, 300 nt
Filed under: uncultured Thermocladium sp.
Lineage: Archaea; Thermoproteati; Thermoproteota; Thermoprotei; Thermoproteales; Thermoproteaceae
Description: bacterial SSU rRNA
Rfam family: Bacterial small subunit ribosomal RNA (bases 52-300)
Source: RNAcentral
GAUACAGGGGGACAGGUACGCGCGUGAAUGCGGAGGUGGCAAGCGUUGGUCGGAGUCUCGGGGAGUAAAGUGCGUGAAGGGCGGUUGUCACGUACGGGGUGAAAACCCGGGGCGCAACUCUGGGACGGCCUGGGCUACGGGGAAACUUGAGGAUCGGAGAGGCAAGGUGAAUUCCACGUGUAGCGGUGAAAUGCGUAGAGAUGUGGAGGAACACCUGUGGCGAAGGCGCCUUGCUGGCCGAUUUCUGACGCUGAGGCGCGAAAGCGUGGGGAGCAAACAGGAUUAGAUACCCGAGUAGUC